This 1366-nucleotide ribosomal RNA is filed under the name uncultured bacterium. RNAcentral describes it as "bacterial SSU rRNA". It matches the Rfam family "Bacterial small subunit ribosomal RNA". The record is from RNAcentral.
AGAGUGUGAUCCUGGCUCGGGAUGAACGCUGGCGGCGCGCCUAACACAUGCAAGUCGAACGGCACCCCUCUCCGGAGGGAAGCGAGUGGCGAACGGCUGAGUAACACGUGGAGAACCUGCCCCCUCCCCCGGGAUAGCCGCCCGAAAGGACGGGUAAUACCGGAUACCCCGGGGGGGCGGGUGGCACCCCGGCUAAAGCCCCGACGGGAGGGGAUGGCUCCGCGGCCCAUCAGGUAGACGGCGGGGUGACGGCCCACCGUGCCGACAACGGGUAGCCGGGUUGAGAGACCGACCGGCCAGAUUGGGACUGAGACACGGCCCAGACUCCUACGGGAGGCAGCAGUGGGGAAUCUUGCGCAAUGGGGGGAACCCUGACGCAGCGACGCCGCGUGCGGGACGGAGGCCUUCGGGUCGUAAACCGCUUUCAGCAGGGAAGAGUCAAGACUGUACCUGCAGAAGAAGCCCCGGCUAACUACGUGCCAGCAGCCGCGGUAAUACGUAGGGGGCGAGCGUUAUCCGGAUUCAUUGGGCGUAAAGCGCGCGUAGGCGGCCCGGCAGGCCGGGGGUCGAAGCGGGGGGCUCAACCCCCCGAAGCCCCCGGAACCUCCGCGGCUUGGGUCCGGUAGGGGAGGGUGGAACACCCGGUGUAGCGGUGGAAUGCGCAGAUAUCGGGUGGAACACCGGUGGCGAAGGCGGCCCUCUGGGCCGAGACCGACGCUGAGGCGCGAAAGCUGGGGGAGCGAACAGGAUUAGAUACCCUGGUAGUCCCAGCCGUAAACGAUGGGCGCUGGGUGUGGGGGGAGCGAUCCCCCCGUGCCGCAGCCAACGCAUUAAGCGUCCCGCCUGGGGAGUACGGCCGCAAGGCUAAAACUCAAAGGAAUUGACGGGGGCCCGCACAAGCAGCGGAGCAUGUGGCUUAAUUCGAAGCAACGCGAAGAACCUUACCAGGGCUUGACAUAUGGGUGAAGCGGGGGAGACCCCGUGGCCGAGAGGAGCCCAUACAGGUGGUGCAUGGCUGUCGUCAGCUCGUGUCGUGAGAUGUUGGGUUAAGUCCCGCAACGAGCGCAACCCCCGCCGCGUGUUGCCAUCGGGUGAUGCCGGGAACCCACGCGGGACCGCCGCCGUCAAGGCGGAGGAGGGCGGGGACGACGUCAAGUCAUCAUGCCCCUUAUGCCCUGGGCUGCACACGUGCUACAAUGGCCGGUACAGAGGGAUGCCACCCCGCGAGGGGGAGCGGAUCCCGGAAAGCCGGCCCCAGUUCGGAUUGGGGGCUGCAACCCGCCCCCAUGAAGUCGGAGUUGCUAGUAAUCGCGGAUCAGCAUGCCGCGGUGAAUGCGUACGCGGGCCUUGCACUCACCGCCCGUCA